GUCAGGAUGGCCGAGUGGUUUAAGGCGCCAGACUCAAGUUCUGGUCUCCAUAUGGAGGCGUGGGUUCAAAUCCAACUUCUGACA
Molecule: transfer RNA, 84 nt
Filed under: Dallia pectoralis (Alaska blackfish)
Lineage: Eukaryota; Metazoa; Chordata; Actinopteri; Esociformes; Umbridae
Description: tRNA-OTHER
Rfam family: tRNA
About the family: Transfer RNA (tRNA) molecules are approximately 80 nucleotides in length. Their secondary structure includes four short double-helical elements and three loops (D, anti-codon, and T loops).
Source: RNAcentral